This 2319-nucleotide ribosomal RNA is filed under the name metagenome. RNAcentral's name for it is "bacterial LSU rRNA". It matches the Rfam family "Bacterial large subunit ribosomal RNA", at positions 1 to 2273 of the family's 2925-position model. The record is from RNAcentral.
CGAAGAUACAAAGGGCGCGAGGCGGAUGCCUUGGCGCGGGAAGUCGACGAAGGGCGCGGCAAGCUGCGAUAAGCCGCGGGGAGGCGCAAACGGCCUUUGAUCCGCGGAUUCCCGAAUGGGGGAACCCAGCAGGGGCAAUGCCCUGCUACCGGCCGCCGAACGCAUAGGCGGCCAGGAGGCAACCGGGGGAACUGAAACAUCUAAGUACCCCGAGGAAGAGAAAUCAACCGAGAUCCCGGGAGUAGCGGCGAGCGAAACCGGGCCAGCCCAAACCGGCGCGCGUGCAAGCGUGCGGGCGUUUCCGCGCCGGUGUUGUUGGGCGGGGCAACCGAGGGCCGCAUCCCUCGGCCGCUGUUACAAACCAGCCAUCUAGGGGAACGGCCUGGGAAGGCCGGCGGAACAGGGUGAGAGCCCCGUACCCGGAAGGUCGCUGGCAGCGGGUCUCCGGCCCAGAGUAGCGCGGGGCACGUGAAACCCCGCGCGAAGCAGGGGGGACCACCCUCCAAGGCUGAACACUCUCCCGCGACCGAUAGCGAACCAGUACCGUGAGGGAAAGGUGAAAAGCACCCCGAGAGGGGAGUGAAACAGCGCCUGAAACCGCGCGCCCACGAGCAGUCGGAGCACCUAGCACGGUGUGACGGCGUGCCUUUUGUAGAAUGAGCCAGCGAGUCACGAUGCGCGGCGAGGUUAAGCUUUUAAGCGAGCCGCAGCGAAAGCGAGUCUUUAAGACGGCGACAUAGUCGCGCGUCGUGGACGCGAAGCCGGGUGAGCUACCCAUGGGCAGGCUGAAGCGGGGGUAAGACCCCGUGGAGGGCCGAACCCACUUCGGUUGAAAACGGAGGGGAUGACCCGUGGGUAGGGGUGAAAGGCCAAUCAAACCCGGAGAUAUCUCGUUCUCCCCGAAAUAGCUUUAGGGCUAGCCCCGGCCGUUUUCCCGCGGCGGUAGAGCACUGGACGGAGGAGGGGGCCUCACCGCCUACCGAUGCCGACCAAACUCCGAAUGCCGCGAGACCAAAGGCCGGGAGUCAGAGCAUGUGGGCUAAGCUGUGUGCUCGAGAGGGAAACAGCCCAGACCGCCCGCUAAGGCCCCCAAGUCAUCGCUGAGUGGCAAAGGAUGUGCGUCCGCCCAGACAACCAGGAUGUUGGCUUAGAAGCAGCCAUGCAUUCAAAGAGUGCGUAACAGCUCACUGGUCGAGUGGACAUGCGCCGACAAUUCACGGGGCUAAGCGAUGCGCCGAAGCGGCGGAAUGUAUUUAACAUUGGUAGGGGAGCUUCCCCUGCGCGGCGAAGCCGGAGGGCGACCGACGGUGGAGCGCAGGGGAGUGAGGAUGCUGGCAUGAGUAACGAGAGCGGCGCGGGAAACGCCGCCGCCGUAAGCCCAAGGUUUCCUGGGCAAGGCUAAUCCUCCCAGGGUCAGUCGGGAGCUAAGGCGAGGCCGGAAGGCGUAGCCGAUGCGCAACAGGCGGACAUUCCUGUACCGCCUCGGGACCGCUAUGACCGAAGGGGCGACGGAGAAGGGUACGCAGGCGGGGUUCUGGACGCCCCCGUGAAAGCGCGUAGGCCGCAGGGCAGGCAAAUCCGCCCUGCGCACAAGGCCGAGACGCGAGACGAAGCCGCAUGGCGAAGCUGCGGAGCCCACGCUCCCUGGAAAAACCCCUAGGCAGGGCCCGAGGCGCCCGUACCAAAACCGACACAGGUGGGCGGGUAGAGCAUACCGAGGCGAUCGGGGGAACCAUGGUCAAGGAACUCGGCAUAAUCGCUCCGUAACUUCGGGAGAAGGAGUGCCGCUGCAGGUGGAGGGACCAGCUCCCCGAGCCCGCGGCGGCCGCAGCGAAACGGCCCAAGCGACUGUUUACCAAAAACACAGGACUCUGCCAACCCGCGAGGGGAAGUAUAGGGUCUGACGCCUGCCCGGUGCCGGAAGGUUACGCGGAUGCGUUAGCACUCGUGCGAAGCGCUGAAGCCAAGCCCCGGUAAACGGCGGCCGUAACUAUAACGGUCCUAAGGUAGCGAAAUUCCUUGUCGGGUAAGUUCCGACCUGCACGAACGGCGUAACGACUUGGGCGCUGUCUCGACCAUGGACCCGGUGAAAUUGCACUAUUCGUGAAGAUGCGAAUUACCUGCGGAAGGACGGAAAGACCCCGUGAACCUUCACUGCAGCUUGGCAUUGGCCGUUGGCUCGGCGCGUAGAGGAUAGGCAGGAGGCUAUGAAACCGGGGCGCCAGCCCCGGCGGAGCCGCCCUUGGAAUACUGCCCCCUCCGUUCCGGCGGCCUAACGCGGCGCCUUAUAUCACGGCCUGUCCCUUAUACACAUUUGCG